Molecule: ribosomal RNA, 836 nt
Filed under: uncultured bacterium
Lineage: Bacteria
Description: bacterial SSU rRNA
Rfam family: Bacterial small subunit ribosomal RNA
Source: RNAcentral
GGCGGACGGGUGAGUAAUACUUGGGAAUCUGCCUAGUAGUGGGGGACAACGUUUCGAAAGGAACGCUAAUACCGCAUACGCCCUACGGGGGAAAGGGGGGGAUCUUCGGACCUCUCGCUAUUAGAUGAGCCCAAGUCGGAUUAGCUAGUUGGUGGGGUAAAGGCCUACCAAGGCGACGAUCCGUAACUGGUCUGAGAGGAUGAUCAGUCACACUGGAACUGAGACACGGUCCAGACUCCUACGGGAGGCAGCAGUGGGGAAUAUUGGACAAUGGGGGAAACCCUGAUCCAGCCAUGCCGCGUGUGUGAAGAAGGCCUUCGGGUUGUAAAGCACUUUAAGCGAGGAGGAAGGGUUCUUAAUUAAUACUUGAGAGCAUUGACGUUACUCGCAGAAUAAGCACCGGCUAACUCUGUGCCAGCAGCCGCGGUAAUACAGAGGGUGCAAGCGUUAAUCGGAAUUACUGGGCGUAAAGCGCGCGUAGGCGGUUGUAUAAGUUGGAUGUGAAAUCCCCGGGCUUAACCUGGGCACUGCAUUCAAAACUGUACGGCUAGAGUGUAGGAGAGGAUGGUAGAAUUCCAGGUGUAGCGGUGAAAUGCGUAGAGAUCUGGAGGAAUACCGAUGGCGAAGGCAGCCAUCUGGCCUAACACUGACGCUGAGGUGCGAAAGCAUGGGGAGCAAACAGGAUUAGAUACCCUGGUAGUCCAUGCCGUAAACGAUGUCUACUAGCCGUUGGGGGACUUGAUCCUUUAGUGGCGCAGCUAACGCAUUAAGUAGACCGCCUGGGGAGUACGGUCGCAAGACUAAAACUCAAAUGAAUUGACGGGGGCCCGCACAAG